AUUGAACGCUAGCGGCAGGCCUAACACAUGCAAGUCGAACGAGUGGCGGACGGGUGAGUAAUGUCUGGGAAACUGCCUGGUGGCGGGGGAUAACUACUGGAAACGGUAGCUAAUACCGCAUACCAUCAGAUGUGCCCAGAUGGGAUUAGCUAGUUGGUGGGGUAACGGCUCACCAAGGCGACGAUCCCUAGCUGGUCUGAGAGGAUGACCAGCCACACUGGAACUGAGACACGGUCCAGACUCCUACGGGAGGCAGCAGUGGGGAAUAUUGGACAAUGGGCGCAAGCCUGAUGCAGCCAUCCCGCGUGUAUGAAGAAGGCCUUCGGGUUGUAAAGUACUUUCGGCGGGGAAGCGUUACCCGCAGAAGAAGCACCGGCUAACUACGUGCCAGCAGCCGCGGUAAUAC
Molecule: ribosomal RNA, 406 nt
Filed under: uncultured bacterium
Lineage: Bacteria
Description: partial 16S ribosomal RNA
Rfam family: Bacterial small subunit ribosomal RNA
Source: RNAcentral